Molecule: ribosomal RNA, 338 nt
Filed under: Streptococcus anginosus
Lineage: Bacteria; Bacillati; Bacillota; Bacilli; Lactobacillales; Streptococcaceae
Description: bacterial SSU rRNA
Rfam family: Bacterial small subunit ribosomal RNA
Source: RNAcentral
GACGAACGCUGGCGGCGUGCCUAAUACAUGCAAGUAGGACGCACAGUUUAUACCGUAGCUUGCUACACCAUAGACUGUGAGUUGUGAACGGGUGAGUAACGCGUAGGUAACCUGCCUAUUAGAGGGGGAUAACUAUUGGAAACGAUAGCUAAUACCGCAUAACAGUAUGUAACACAUGUUAGAUGCUUGAAAGAUGCAAUUGCAUCGCUAGUAGAUGGACCUGCGUUGUAUUAGCUAGUAGGUAGGGUAAUGGCCUACCUAGGCGACGAUACAUAGCCGACCUGAGAGGGUGAUCGGCCACACUGGGACUGAGACACGGCCCAGACUCCUACGGGAGG